AAUUCCAAUCGAACUUGGAGAUAGCUGGUUCUCUCCGAAAUAGCUUUAGGGCUAGCCUCAAGUGAUGAUUAUUGGAGGUAGAGCACUGUUUGGACGAGGGGCCCCUCUCGGGUUACCGAAUUCAGACAAACUCCGAAUGCCAAUUAAUUUAACUUGGGAGUCAGAACAUGGGUGAUAAGGUCCGUGUUCGAAAGGGAAACAGCCCAGACCACCAGCUAAGGUCCCAAAAUAUAUGUUAAGUGGAAAAGGAUGUGGCGUUGCCCAGACAACUAGGAUGUUGGCUUAGAAGCAGCCAUCAUUUAAAGAGUGCGUAAUAGCUCACUAGUCGAGUGACACUGCGCCGAAAAUGUACCGGGGCUAAACAUAUUACCGAAGCUGUGGAUUGUCCUUUGGACAAUGGUAGGAGAGCGUUCUAAGGGCGUUGAAGCAUGAUCGCAAGGACAUGUGGAGCGCUUAGAAGUGAGAAUGCCGGUGUGAGUAGCGAAAGACGGGUGAGAAUCCCGUCCACCGAUUGACUAAGGUUUCCAGAGGAAGGCUCGUCCGCUCUGGGUUAGUCGGGUCCUAAGCUGAGGCCGACAGGCGUAGGCGAUGGAUAACAGGUUGAUAUUCCUGUACCACCUAUAAUCGUUUUAAUCGAUGGGGGGACGCAGUAGGAUAGGCGAAGCGUACGAUUGGAUUGUACGUCUAAGCAGUGAGAUUGAGUGUUAGGCAAAUCCGGCACUCUUAAGAUUGAGCUGUGAUGGGGAGAGGAAAUUGUUUCCUCGAGUCGUUGAUUUCACACUGCCGAGAAAAGCCUCUAGAUAGAGAUUAGGUGCCCGUACCGCAAACCGACACAGGUAGUCAAGAUGAGAAUUCUAAGGUGAGCGAGCGAACUCUCGUUAAGGAACUCGGCAAAAUGACCCCGUAACUUCGGGAGAAGGGGUGCUCUUUAGGGUGCAAGCCCAGAAGAGCCGCAGUGAAUAGGCCCAAGCGACUGUUUAUCAAAAACACAGGUCUCUGCUAAACCGUAAGGUGAUGUAUAGGGGCUGACGCCUGCCCGGUGCUGGAAGGUUAAGAGGAGUGGUUAGCUUCUGCGA
This 1076-nucleotide ribosomal RNA is filed under the name Listeria monocytogenes. RNAcentral's name for it is "bacterial LSU rRNA". It matches the Rfam family "Bacterial large subunit ribosomal RNA", at positions 825 to 1902 of the family's 2925-position model. Lineage: Bacteria; Bacillati; Bacillota; Bacilli; Caryophanales; Listeriaceae. The record is from RNAcentral.